UUGAAAACAUUAUACAGGCAUUACAUUGCCACAGCCAGUCCAUAGGGGAGCAUGCAAAUAUCAAAAAUGGAGAGUUUGUUCAACUUAUCGGUGUCAAUUUCCUUUUUGGUUCAUAUUUUCCAUUUGCAGUGUCUGGAUUAGUGUGCUUUGUUACGUGGCUUGACAGUAGAAUCCUACCCAUGGGGUAAAAUCUGUACUGGUAGCUAGCUGGGGACUACUAAACGGUUACAAAUCAAAAACAAACCCAAAACAAACAGUACUACACGCUUGUCAAAAGGUUAAUAGCACAAGUUAGCAAUACCUAAACUAAACAUUGAAACAUUUUCAUGGGACACAGUGGUGCAAAUUUUUCCAUUGCUUGUUCUACCUGGUUGUGUAUUUCAGAGCUCGGAGCUGUGGGAAAGUGUGACCAAGGCGAGCAGUAUCCCCAGUGCAAGUUGUCAUUGAGUGAGGACCGCCACUUAGGAGAGCUAAGGGUCAAUCUGGAAUUCCUGAUCUCAGACAAUUCAGUACGUUAUCAGCCUUUCUAAAUGGAGAAGAACCAACACAGUGAGCUACCCCAGUGACAUGAAAAUCUUGUGUACAAGGACAUUGGAUGGUAAAGGGUAUACAGUGAAUUCACCUUAACAUUCACACUUGGUUUCCAUACAGUGGAGUCAAUUAAAAUAUCCUAGAAAAUAAUUCAGAUGGCAACUUGUAGCCGUCCACUGAUUUGCAAACCCUUUUGAAAUUUAAAUUUGAAAAAAAUUCCCAGUCCACUGA
This is a long non-coding RNA of Balaenoptera musculus (blue whale), 762 nucleotides long. RefSeq lists it as uncharacterized. Lineage: Eukaryota; Metazoa; Chordata; Mammalia; Artiodactyla; Balaenopteridae. The record is from RefSeq and is a predicted model, not a curated record. The transcript has 2 exons.